RNAcentral lists this ribosomal RNA (256 nucleotides) under uncultured bacterium. RNAcentral's name for it is "partial 16S ribosomal RNA". It matches the Rfam family "Bacterial small subunit ribosomal RNA", at positions 524 to 777 of the family's 1533-position model. The record is from RNAcentral.
UACGUAGGGGGGCAAGCGUUGUCCGGAUUUAUUGGGCGUAAAGAGCGUGUAGGCGGUCAGGUAGGUCCGUUGUGAAAACUCGAGGCUCAACCUCGAGACGCCGAUGGAAACCAUCUGACUAGAGUCCGGAAGAGGAGAGUGGAAUUCCUGGUGUAGCGGUGAAAUGCGUAGAUAUCUGGAGGAACACCGGUGGCGAAGGCGGCGAUCCUGGACCAACACUGACGCUGAGGAGCGAAAGCCAGGGGAGCAAACGGGG